UUACUCUUCGUGUUUCUUCAGAUUGAAUAAUGCCUUGCUUUUACUAGGAGUUUUCGUGAAGCGAACCCUCCAUGAGUCUCCAUAAAUUUUUGAGGCUCUGCCCAUGCAGGAC
Bombina bombina (fire-bellied toad) is the source of this 112-nucleotide small nuclear RNA. RefSeq annotates it as U5 spliceosomal RNA. The transcript has a single exon. NCBI's taxonomy places the organism in Eukaryota, Metazoa, Chordata, Amphibia, Anura, Bombinatoridae. The record is from RefSeq and is a predicted model, not a curated record.